UGGGGAAUAUUGCACAAUGGGCGCAAGCCUGAUGCAGCCAUGCCGCGUGUAUGAAGAAGGCCUUCGGGUUGUAAAGUACUUUCAGUCGGGAGGAAGGUGGUAAGGUUAAUAACCUUGGCAAUUGACGUUACCGACAGAAGAAGCACCGGCUAACUCCGUGCCAGCAGCCGCGGUAAUACGGAGGGUGCAAGCGUUAAUCGGAAUUACUGGGCGUAAAGCGCACGCAGGCGGUUGAUUGAGUCAGAUGUGAAAUCCCCGGGCUUAACCCGGGAAUUGCAUCUGAUACUGGGCAGCUAGAGUCUUGUAGAGGGGGGUAGAAUUCCAUGUGUAGCGGUGAAAUGCGUAGAGAUGUGGAGGAAUACCGGUGGCGAAGGCGGCCCCCUGGACAAAGACUGACGCUCAGGUGCGAAAGCGUGGGGAGCAAACAGG
Molecule: ribosomal RNA, 429 nt
Filed under: Chloroflexota bacterium
Lineage: Bacteria; Bacillati; Chloroflexota
Description: Chloroflexi bacterium partial 16S ribosomal RNA
Rfam family: Bacterial small subunit ribosomal RNA
Source: RNAcentral